Branchiostoma belcheri (Belcher's lancelet) is the source of this 988-nucleotide RNA transcript. It is a transcript of the gene named COMM domain-containing protein 4-like, with no coding region annotated. Lineage: Eukaryota; Metazoa; Chordata; Leptocardii; Amphioxiformes; Branchiostomatidae. The record is from RefSeq and is a predicted model, not a curated record. The transcript has 3 exons.
GACAUCACAUGAUUGCAGUGGUGACUUCCUGAUCUGAACUGCAUGCACACAAAAAGUCUCCAAGACAUCUUCUGAAGAAAAAGCGCCAAAACUUCACCAUUCAGGAUGAGGUUCCGAUUCUGUGGGGAUCUGGACUGUCCAGACUGGGUCCUGGCCGAAAUCAGCAUCCUCUCCAAACUCACCUCUGUGAAAAUGAAGCUCCUUUGUGUCCAAGUGGUCAAAGAUCUGUUGGGACAGUCCAUAGACUAUGACAAAGUCCACAAGCUGACUGCAGAUGCAAAGUAUGAGGCAGGGGAUGUGAAAGCCAGCAUUGCUGCACUGUCUUUCAUCUUGUGCAGUGCAGCUAAGUACCAAGUUGACGGCGACUCUUUGAGCAACGAGCUGCAACAGCUUGGUCUACCGAAGGAGCAUUCCAGCUCGCUUUGCAAGACCUACGCGGACAACCUGGGCAACCUACAGGCACAGUUCAUGCGACAAAGUCUCAAACUUUCCCAACUUGAGUCUGCAGAGUGGAGGGUGGACUACAUCUUGAGUUCGAGCGAACUGCAGGAUGUGCAGGAACCGAUGGUCCAGCUAAGGUUAAGGGUUCGAAACCCGGACACGGGAAACGUGGUGCCACAUUCCUUCACCAUGACAGCCGACAAGUUCAGGUUGUUUCUGAGCGAACUGAAGCAGGCACACCAAGUUAUGGAGGGACUGGCCUUGUAACCUGGUGCAUUGACUGAAACUAGUUUUGUGAAAACUGAUACUUGUGCUAUUAUAGCUCCAUGGUAUAACAUUGUAAAUGCAAAGCCUUUAUAAGGACGGUAAUAACAAUCAUUAUUUGACCAUGAAUAUUUUAUGACCUGGAGUAGUAGGUAGCAAGUUUUCAUACCUUAAAUCUAGGAUCUCAAUUGAUUUGUUAUUUGCCAAUUCAGAGAUAUGUAAUGUUAUGUGUUACAUUAUGUUUUGAUGCUUUGAACUGAUGCACCAACAAGUGUUAUAUAUA